GUUUGCACAAGAGUGUGACAUUUGUAACUUCACUUCAGCCUCCAGUUGGCUGCUUUCUGCAAACAAUCAGACUGAUUGCGGGCUACAACUUCAUUUACAUGAGUGCCCUUGGUGGACAGCACCUAAGCAUGGAGACUUCAUGCAAGUUUCUGCCCAGGGUCACUAUCUAGUGAAACUGAAAGGUUUCCACAUGGAAGCACCUGACCGCCACCGCCCAGUUCAGUCUUUCAGCAACAGUUUCCUAGUAGCUCCUGGUAAUUGAGGGAAACUGACCAGGACCGCUCUUUGGCAUUCUCUGAAGACCAAGAAGCAAACAGGGAUAGAUGCCCUGCCUGGAAGGGGAAAAGACUCUUUUCUAUCCUUUCUGGUUAUACUCCCAGAACUCUACGUGUGACACAGUUGGAUGUGGCAGCUCAUCCAGGGCGAAUUCACACACGUUUCAGAGACCAUCAAGCUUCAGAUAAUCAAGCAACAAGGUUUCCAGCCAGCUCCAGGUGAAGGCACCACCCCACCGCCAUCAAGAAGCACCCUGUCUCCACUAGACAGAGUGGGCUGAGAGUUCCGGGAUCUCCAACAGGCUAUUUGGUGUCAUGCUGUUUUUCUAAGUGGACUCUGACUCAUUCACUCACUAACAGAAGAGAUGACAUAGAAUUGUGUACAAUUGGAGAGCAUGAUCACUCUCCCUCCUGGAACAAGAGCCUAUAACCCUCUGGAUUCUGCAC
Molecule: long non-coding RNA, 722 nt
Filed under: Homo sapiens (human)
Lineage: Eukaryota; Metazoa; Chordata; Mammalia; Primates; Hominidae
Description: HSALNT0092966
Source: RNAcentral